Molecule: ribosomal RNA, 422 nt
Filed under: uncultured bacterium
Lineage: Bacteria
Description: bacterial SSU rRNA
Rfam family: Bacterial small subunit ribosomal RNA
Source: RNAcentral
UGAGGAAUAUUGGACAAUGGGCGCAAGCCUGAUCCAGCCAUGCCGCGUGCAGGAAGAAGCAUCUAUGGUGUGUAAACUGCUUUUGUACGGGAAGAAACACUCCUUCGUGAAGGAGCUUGACGGUACCGUAAGAAUAAGGAUCGGCUAACUCCGUGCCAGCAGCCGCGGUAAUACGGAGGAUCCAAGCGUUAUCCGUAAUCAUUGGGUUUAAAGGGUCCGUAGGCGGUUUAGUAAGUCAGUGGUGAAAGCCCAUCGCUCAACGAUGGAACGGCCAUUGAUACUGCUAGACUUGAAUUAUUAGGAAGUGACUAGAAUAUGUAGUGUAGCGGUGAAAUGCUUAGAUAUUACAUGGAAUACAAAUUGCGAUGGCAGGUUACUACUUGUGGAUUGACGCUGAUGGACGAAAGCGUGGGGAGCGAACA